This 420-nucleotide ribosomal RNA is filed under the name Fusobacteriota bacterium. Its description in RNAcentral is "Fusobacteria bacterium partial 16S ribosomal RNA". It matches the Rfam family "Bacterial small subunit ribosomal RNA", at positions 355 to 776 of the family's 1533-position model. The record is from RNAcentral. Lineage: Bacteria; Fusobacteriati; Fusobacteriota.
UGGGGGAUAUUGCACAAUGGGCGAAAGCCUGAUGCAGCGACGCCGCGUGGGGGAUGAAGGCCUUCGGGUUGUAAACUUCUUUUGCUCUGAACAAGGCAUGCUUUUGGGGUGUGUUGAGUGUAGGGGUUGAUUAGCGCCGGCUAACUACGUGCCAGCAGCCGCGGUAAUACGUAGGGCGCGAGCGUUGCCCGGAAUUAUUGGGCGUAAAGGGCUUGUAGGUGGCUGGUCGCGUCUGUCGUGAAAGCUCAUGGCUUAACUGUGGGUUUGCGGUGGGUACGGGCUGGCGUGAGUGCAGUAGGGGAGGGGGGAAUUCCUGGUGUAGCGGUGGAAUGCGCAGAUAUCAGGGGGAAUACCGGUGGCGAAGGCGGGGCUCUGGGCUGUUACUGACGCUGGGGGGCGAAAGCGUGGGGAGCGAACAGG